GACGAACGCUGGCGGCGUGCUUAACACAUGCAAGUCGAACGGAAAGGCCCUGCUCUUGUGGGGUGCUCGAGUGGCGAACGGGUGAGUAACACGUGAGUAACCUGCCCCUGACUUUGGGAUAACUUCAGGAAACUGGGGCUAAUAUCGGAUAGGAGCUCCUGCUGCAUGGUGGGGGUUGGAAAGAUUCGGCGGUUGGGGAUGGACUAGCGGCUUAUCCGCUUGUUGGUGGGGUAGUGGCUUACCAAGGCUUUGACGGGUAGCCGGCCUGAGAGGGUGACCGGCCACAUUGGGACUGAGAUACGGCCCAGACUCCUACGGGAGGCAGCGGUGGGGAGUAUUGCGCAAUGGGCGGAAGCCUGAUGCGGCGACGCCGCGUGCGGGAUGACGGCCUUCGGGUUGUAAACCGCUUUCGCCUGUGACAAAGCGUGAGUGACGGUAAUGGGUAAAAAAGCACCGGCUAACUACGUG
This 468-nucleotide ribosomal RNA is filed under the name uncultured bacterium. Its description in RNAcentral is "partial 16S ribosomal RNA". It matches the Rfam family "Bacterial small subunit ribosomal RNA", at positions 28 to 507 of the family's 1533-position model. The record is from RNAcentral.